Non-coding RNA from Kogia breviceps (pygmy sperm whale), 3186 nucleotides. The record is from RefSeq and is a predicted model, not a curated record. NCBI's taxonomy places the organism in Eukaryota, Metazoa, Chordata, Mammalia, Artiodactyla, Physeteridae.
UGGCAGUGUCGCCGUCGCCGGGUUCCGUAGCCUCCGCCGCUUCGCCUCCUCGGCACCUGAGGCGGCCGUCCGGCGGUCCUGCGGCUCUCUCUCCUGCCGCUGCGGGCCGCGGGGCCAAGGCCAUGUCCCGGAAGCAGGCGGCGAAGAGCCGGCCGGGCAGCGGCAGCCGGAAAGCCGAGGCCGAGCGCAAGCGGGACGAGCGGGCGGCGCGUCGGGCCCUGGCCAAGGAGCGGCGGAACCGGCCGGAGCCCGGCGGCGGCGGCGGCUGCGAGGAGGAGUUCGUCAGCUUCGCCAACCAGCUGCAGGCCCUGGGGCUGAAGCUGCGGGAGGUGCCGGGGGACGGCAAUUGCCUAUUCAGAGCUCUUGGUGAUCAAUUGGAGGGCCACUCACGAAAUCAUCUCAAGCACCGACAAGAGACAGUGGACUACAUGAUAAAGCAGCGAGAAGAUUUUGAACCCUUUGUAGAAGAUGACAUUCCUUUUGAGAAACAUGUGGCCAGUUUGGCAAAGCCUGGAACAUUUGCUGGCAACGAUGCAAUUGUAGCCUUCGCAAGAAAUCAUCAGUUGAAUGUGGUGAUUCAUCAGCUUAAUGCCCCUUUGUGGCAGAUUCGUGGUACGGAUAAGAGCAACGUGCAGGAGUUACACAUUGCAUAUCGGUAUGGAGAGCACUAUGACAGCGUUCGGAGGAUCAAUGACAACUCCGAAGCACCUGCACAUCUCCAGACUGAUUUUCAGAUGCUUCAUCAAGAUGAAUCAAAUAAAAGAGAGAAGAUCAAAACAAAGGGAGUUGACUUUGAAGAUGACCUGAGAGAUGAAGUAGAAGAUGCUGUCCAGAAAGUUUGCAAUGCAACUGGAUGUUCAGAUUUAAAUUUGAUAGUCCAGAACCUGGAAGCUGAAAAUUAUAACAUUGAAUCUGCGAUAAUUGCCAUGCUCCAGAUGAACCAGGGGAAAAGAAAUAAUGCAGAGGAGAACCUUGAGUCCAGUGGCCGAGCACUGAAGCAGUGCGACCCUUUAUGGGAGGAGGGUGGCAGUGGCACCAGAAUCUUUGGAAAUCAGGGCUUAAAUGAAGGCAGAACUGAAAACGAUAAGUCUCGGGCCAGCCCCAGUGAAGAAAACAAAGCAAAUAAAAAUCACUUCCCAAAGGUCACAGACAAACAGAGGCGAGAACAGCAGCGACUGGAGAAGAAGAAACGACAGGAGGAGAGGCACCGUCACAAAGCCCUGGAGAGCAGGAGUAGCCACAGGGACAACAACAGAAGUGAAGCAGACACGAGCAUCCAGGUCACCUUGGUGAAGACCUUCGCGGCUCUCAACAUCUGACUCUGGCCUCCUGGGAGUUGUGAGAAGGGAAUGGAAAGCGGAGGGCCGUGUGCCAGGCUUUCCAUCAAGGCCAUCCUUUUACAAAAUGAAACUCAACCCACAGAAUCACACACUGAGUUAGUUUCCUUCAAGCUGCCUCCUUUUUUUGUUCAGAGUUUUGUCAGUGAUGUGUCUUAUUUAAUGAAAGUGCAGUGAAGCCAUUCAUGUUCCAUAAUUAAAAUAUCGACUUUUAGGGGUGGAUAGUUAGGUCAGAAAAUACUUUUACAGUUUUAUUUGCCCUGAAAAUCAGAGUUCAGUGACCCUGGGACCUUUCCUUAGCACUCGGGGUUUGUCUGUAAUUGUUCAUGAAGUAGUUUAGAUUAAUUGCUAGAAAUUCAGAAUGACAAGUUUCCUUUGUUUCUCUUUCAUUUUCAAACAGACAUUCAUAUGCAGGAUAGUUUAUAAAUGAUGUCCACCUCAGGUACAUGUUUAGAAUUAACUUUCUUCUAGUGCAAGUUAAUCACAAAAUAAUUCAGGAAGUGUUUUCCCAAAGUCAUAGGAUGUGAAGGUGGUGGCCUGUAGUCAGGGUGGAAAUUAAACAGCUAUGUUUCUCUUCUUCCUGAUUCUGAUGCUCAGAUGGGAUGCAGGUGCUGUUGGUUCUUUUGCACUCAAGCCAUAUGAUAAAUAGGCCAGACUGUUAAUUAGGCCUGGGCUUUGCUGGAAAAUGUGUAGUGUUGCCGGGUAGUUGGUAGUCGUUUCUUGACAACAAGAAGACAGUGUAUCAGUGCUUAUGAUACAGUUCUGGGAUUCUGAUAGCGUGGAGCGCAGAAGCCAUAGUUGUAAAGGCAGAAGUCAAGAGAGUCCUGAGUUUUUUGCUCAGGAAGAAGUCUGAAGAGGUAAUUGAUUUGGGGUGGGGGGUUGGGGGUGUCUGGAAGAAUUUCUAAGGCUUUUCAUGUUCACAUUUUAAGUAAGUAACUGUCAUUUCUUCCUUACUAUUCUGGAUUUAGAAAGAUGCCUUCAGAGAAAUAAAAGCUUUCAGAACAGGCGCUGCUCAAACUCCGGGGCCUUCCGACGGUUGUUCUGAGGUGAUUUAAUAAUGGCACUUUCUGCAAGGUGUGUUUUCCUGACUCUAAAGCAAAUUGUAUUUUUCCAUUGAUGUUGUUAAGUUGGCGAUCUCGAUGGCAUGUGUAAAUGAUAGCAGGUCUUCUGCCGUCACAUGCAAGGGGGGGAAUGGACAGUCGGGUUGAGCGCCGGUCACGAAGUGCAUCGCACAGUUCGGAGCUCGGAAGGUGCCCACAGGGCCCGGCUCCGGGGAGGAGCUGGGCCUCGUUGACUGCUUGGCUGCGUCUGUCCAAGGGCCCUCGGCCUCCCUGGCUACCCUUCCAGCGUCCGCCAGCAGCACUGAGCUCCGUGAGAAGAAGAAAAGAGCCAGGAGUCGGACCUCAGACCUCCGUGUUCCUCUUGCUGAUGUGGAAGCGCUGGCGGGUGUUAAUCCCCUUUGUGAAGGAGGGCCGAUGGGUCUGUGGAGAACACAGGGGCCUUCACAGGCUCGGCCACCUUCUCUUUUUUCUAAUUGCACUAUACUUGUCCUCACUGCAGUCUGGAGAUAUUUAAGACCUCUGUGGGGUCAUGAUCCAUAGACUUAGCAAGUCUUGCCUUAUCUGUGGAGCUGGACGGGGGGAAUGUGACCAUUGUCUCAUGUCCAUAGUUCAUUUCCUCCAGGAUGUUUCUUUCCUCAGAUUGUGUUACUCUGAACCAUUUUAGUUUUUAUUUACCAAAGUACUGUACUUGGCUAUUUGCAGUGUUUUCCAAACCAAAUGUUUCUUUUUCUUGUGUUUUUAAUCUUCAAUACUUGGUGCAAUAGAAGCUGCAAAGAUGUGCCACUUUA